Molecule: ribosomal RNA, 253 nt
Filed under: uncultured bacterium
Lineage: Bacteria
Description: partial 16S ribosomal RNA
Rfam family: Bacterial small subunit ribosomal RNA
Source: RNAcentral
UACGUAGGGCGCAAGCGUUGUCCGGAAUUAUUGGGCGUAAAGAGCUCGUAGGCGGUCUGUUGCGUCCGCUGUGAAAACUCGGGACUUAACCCCGAGCCUGCAGUGGAUACGGGCAGACUAGAGGUAGGUAGGGGAGAAUGGAAUUCCCGGUGUAGCGGUGAAAUGCUUAGAUAUGUCAUAGAACACCGAUUGCGAAGGCAGCUCACAAAGCCACUAUUGACGCUGAGGCACGAAAGCGUGGGGAUCAAACAGG